ACACUCCUGCGGGAGGCAGCAGUGGGGAAUUUUGGACAAUGGGCGAAAGCCUGAUCCAGCAAUGCCGCGUGAGUGAAGAAGGCCUUCGGGUUGUAAAGCUCUUUUGUCAGGGAAGAAACGGUGAAAGCUAAUAUCUUUUGCUAAUGACGGUACCUGAAGAAUAAGCACCGGCUAACUACGUGCCAGCAGCCGCGGUAAUACGUAGGGUGCAAGCGUUAAUCGGAAUUACUGGGCGUAAAGCGUGCGCAGGCGGUUUUGUAAGUCUGAUGUGAAAUCCCCGGGCUCAACCUGGGAAUUGCAUUGGAGACUGCAAGGCUAGAAUCUGGCAGAGGGGGGUAGAAUUCCACGUGUAGCAGUGAAAUGCGUAGAUAUGUGGAGGAACACCGAUGGCGAAGGCAGCCCCCUGGGUCAAGAUUGACGCUCAUGCACGAAAGCGUGGGGAGCAAACAGGAUUAGAAUCCCUAGUAGUCCCAUGA
Molecule: ribosomal RNA, 476 nt
Filed under: uncultured organism
Description: partial 16S ribosomal RNA
Rfam family: Bacterial small subunit ribosomal RNA
Source: RNAcentral